Long non-coding RNA from Anguilla anguilla (European eel), 1538 nucleotides. RefSeq lists it as uncharacterized. The transcript is spliced from 2 exons. The record is from RefSeq and is a predicted model, not a curated record. Lineage: Eukaryota; Metazoa; Chordata; Actinopteri; Anguilliformes; Anguillidae.
AGACCAGCACUAUCGCAGGCAUCUAACAAGAGCUAUCUAGGCUGCAUGUGGUUGACCUCAUCGGAGCCUUGGACAGCCCGUAGACAGCUGCUUCGGUUCUACCUGAGGUGGCGAUUUCAGUCAUUGACUGGGACUGAGCCACACGCAAGUGCUCCAAUGUAAGCAUCCUGUUUUCAUCCAUUCUUGAGUAAAAACAAUAACAAGAGCCAUACAAUUAAGAGACAUAUCCUGGCAAAUGCAGGAGCUGUCGGUUUGAGGUUCCCAGGCCUUUUUGAUCCAGGAGUUGUAACAACAUGCGCAAUUAGGCUGAUUUAGCGGAAGCGCUCACUCCGACUUACUUUCACCCGCGACCCACGGAAGCGACCAGCCGCUUCGGUCUCCCACGGACGCAUUUACUUCAUCAAGCCGUUCUUACGGCCACCAGUAAAUGUUCUCCGCAGUUAAGAGCCCUGGGGAGCGUAAAGCGCUGCUCUCGUGUAAAUACUUGAGAUUAAAUGUGCUGCGAGCGCGAGCGACCGCUCCAGAUGUUGCGUCUGUCACGGCAGGACAGGAAAUCAACUUUGCCACCAGGGGAGAUGAAGAACUAGCUUUUCGCUUAUGCCAGCCGUCUUAGGGAUCUUCCCAUGCCACCUGACAGCAUGCAAGCCAAAGACACGGGCAGUGAUGGAGCCAACCUUCUGACAUCAUCAACAGACUCCAAAGAAAAUGGCUGCAACCCAGUUACAUUUUUGGCAAUUUAACACAUUUUACUUUGAACUUUUUUAACAGCUGCAAUGUUUUUAUGCAUUGCUUUUUUUAGAUCACCAUAACUCCCUAAAAUAUUGCAGUUCUACUUUAACAUGUGCUAAUCAAGAAUAACAAUUCUGACAUCUACUUCUAUGACUGGUAUUUAGGGUGCAUGUUGAACAGUUAUAAAAACAUGCCAGGAGAGAGAGAACUUCUCAAACCCCUUGUAGUUAUCAAACAGAAGUGAAGUUGGCAACGGUGGCCAAAAAGUAUCGAAAUCUUAUUUUAUUCUGGCACAAGAUAUUGUUGAUUUUGCUUUUUUGAAUAUUGUGUAUUAUAACAACUUAAGAAUUGAAUCUGCGCUGAAGGAAAAGCAGAAUGUUUGAUAAAAGGGGCAGGCUCUGACGUGCAUUACAAUUAAUGCUGAAAAGCAGCAUCAUAAUAUUUGAAAUUACUAAACAUACUCUAAAAGGCCAUUUAUGUCUUUUAAAGUUCAGCAUUUUCGCAAAAUUUGUUUUUUAAUGUUUAAUAUAUUGCAAAAAACUUUCAAAAGAGAAAAAAACAAACUUUUGAAUAUAUUCCGUUCACAUUGCUUUGACCAAAUAUAAGAUCCAGAAACUAGUGUUCCCACAGAGUUUAAGGUUCAACAUCACAAGGAUGCAUAGUUUACUGUUAUUAUGAAUGUUAUAAUUCUGUUUAAUUUUAACAGUAUGUUGGCAGUGUUAUCAAUACAUUUUUUAAUUCUUUAUUGUAUGUUCUGAUUCUCUCUUCCCUCUGGACAACAGUCUGCCAAAUUAAAAAUAUAUAAUGAU